GGCGAGGUGGCGGAAUUAGCAGACGCGCGACGCUUAGAACGUCGUUCCCCCUGAGGAGUUGGGAGUGCAAGUCUCCCCCUGGUUAC
This 86-nucleotide transfer RNA is filed under the name Lignipirellula cremea. RNAcentral's name for it is "Planctomycetes bacterium Pla85_3_4 tRNA-Leu". The record is from RNAcentral. Lineage: Bacteria; Pseudomonadati; Planctomycetota; Planctomycetia; Pirellulales; Pirellulaceae.